This 328-nucleotide ribosomal RNA is filed under the name uncultured bacterium. RNAcentral's name for it is "bacterial SSU rRNA". It matches the Rfam family "Bacterial small subunit ribosomal RNA", at positions 344 to 689 of the family's 1533-position model. The record is from RNAcentral.
GGAGGCAGCAGUGGGGAAUAUUGCACAAUGGGGGAAACCCUGAUGCAGCAACGCCGCGUGAGUGAAGAAGUAUUUCGGUAUGUAAAGCUCUAUCAGCAGGGAAGAAAAUGACGGUACCUGACUAAGAAGCCCCGGCUAACUACGUGCCAGCAGCCGCGGUAAUACGUAGGGGGCAAGCGUUAUCCGGAUUUACUGGGUGUAAAGGGAGCGCAGGCGGUCUGGCAAGUCUGAUGUGAAAUCCCGGGGCUCAACCCUGGAACUGCAUUGGAAACUGUCAGACUAGAGUGCCGGAGAGGUAAGUGGAAUUCCUAGUGUAGCGGUGAAAUGC